CUCUGGAAACUGCAAAGAAAAACUUCAUCAGAUUGGUUAAGAACCCCCGAACUGAUAUAACAACCAACACUCCAAUGAAUAACAACGAAAUGUACUGUGAUAGUAAUGCAGCAUUGAUUCCUAUAUCAAAGAACUGCAAGAAUAUGCUGAUAGUCAUAGUCACAGGAUCUACUGAGCCAGCCUCCUUGAAAAUAACGCUUUGCAAAGACUUGAUCAUUUUAUACACACAAUAGACAGAACAUGCAUAGCCAAGUAGAUUCUGCA
This 264-nucleotide unclassified non-coding RNA is filed under the name Hevea brasiliensis (rubber tree). Lineage: Eukaryota; Viridiplantae; Streptophyta; Magnoliopsida; Malpighiales; Euphorbiaceae. The record is from RNAcentral.